UUAAGCAUAUCAAUAAGCGGAGGAAUU
This 27-nucleotide ribosomal RNA is filed under the name Spathularia flavida. Its description in RNAcentral is "partial large subunit ribosomal RNA". Lineage: Eukaryota; Fungi; Ascomycota; Leotiomycetes; Rhytismatales; Cudoniaceae. RNAcentral also lists the same sequence under 1 other name. The record is from RNAcentral.